ACUCCCUCCUCCAUGCUAAGCCAUGAGCCACUCCAGGGCAGCACACUAACAUCAGCUCCCACGCUUCUCAGCCGUGGGUCCUCAGGGGAGUCCUUAACUACACUGGGCCCUGGUGCUUCCUCUGUGGUCACUUGUAGCACAGAUCUGGCCCCUUCUUGGCCCUCUCCAUCCCUGACCUACCCCUUUGUGCCCCACACCAACCUACAGACCUUUGUUCUCUUGUAGGAGCACAGCUACACCCUCCUGCCCCAGGGCCUUUGCAAAUGCUGUCCCUUCCAUCUGGACCACUCCUCCUGCCCUCCUGACCCUUCAGGUCUGAGCUUCCCUGCCCCUCUCUUCACAGUGUAAUGACACAUUGCUGGGUUGUUUGAUUCCUCUGACCUCCCCACUGGUCUGUAAGCCCCACAAGGACAGGUAUUAUCUUGUUUGCUGCUGUAAACUCUGCAUCCACCUAUACUGCCUGGCGUAGAUAGUAGGUGCUCAAUAAAAAAUUGCAAAAGUUGUCUAAGAGCGUAGAAAUUAGACAGGCUACACACCA
Molecule: long non-coding RNA, 538 nt
Filed under: Marmota monax (woodchuck)
Lineage: Eukaryota; Metazoa; Chordata; Mammalia; Rodentia; Sciuridae
Source: RNAcentral